UGGGGGAUAUUGCACAAUGGGCGAAAGCCUGAUGCAGCGACGCCGCGUGGGGGAUGAAGGCUUUCGGGUUGUAAACCUCUUUUGCUAUCGAACAAGGCCCGCUUAGGGUGGGUUGAGGGUAGGUGGAGAAGAAGCGCCGGCUAACUACGUGCCAGCAGCCGCGGUAAUACGUAGGGCGCGAGCGUUGUCCGGAAUUAUUGGGCGUAAAGGGCUUGUAGGCGGCUUGUUGCGCCUGCUGUGAAAACGCGGGGCUUAACUUCGCGCGUGCAGUGGGUACGGGCAGGCUUGAGUGUGGUAGGGGUGACUGGAAUUCCAGGUGUAGCGGUGGAAUGCGCAGAUAUCUGGAGGAACACCGAUGGCGAAGGCAGGUCACUGGGCCAUGACUGACGCUGAGGAGCGAAAGCAUGGGUAGCGAACAGG
Molecule: ribosomal RNA, 420 nt
Filed under: bacterium
Lineage: Bacteria
Description: partial 16S ribosomal RNA
Rfam family: Bacterial small subunit ribosomal RNA
Source: RNAcentral